RNAcentral lists this ribosomal RNA (233 nucleotides) under uncultured bacterium. RNAcentral's name for it is "partial 16S ribosomal RNA". It matches the Rfam family "Bacterial small subunit ribosomal RNA", at positions 100 to 334 of the family's 1533-position model. The record is from RNAcentral.
CGGGACGGGUGAGUAAUGUAUGGGGAUCUGCCUGAUGGCGGGGGAUAACUACUGGAAACGGUAGCUAAUACCGCAUAAUGUCUACGGACCAAAGCGGGGGACCUCCGGGCCUCGCGCCAUCAGAUGAACCCAUAUGGGAUUAGCUUGUAGGUAAGGUAACGGCUUACCUAGGCGACGAUCCCUAGCUGGUCUGAGAGGAUGACCAGCCACACUGGAACUGAGACACGGUCCAG